AGAGUUUGAUCCUGGCUCAGAAUCAACGCUGGCGGCGUGCCUAACACAUGCAAGUCGAGCGAGAAAAGGGGAGCAAUCCCCUGAGUACAGCGGCGCACGGGUGAGUAACACGUGGGUAAUCUGCCCUGGAGUGGGGAAUAACACCGGGAAACCGGUGCUAAUACCGCAUACGAUCACAGAGUCUGCGGAUUUUGUGAUGAAAGGAGCAAUUCGCUCUAGGAGGAGCCCGCGGCUGAUUAGCUAGUUGGUGAGGUAUUGGCUCACCAAGGCAACGAUCAGUAUCCGGUCUGAGAGGACGGUCGGACACACUGGAACUGAGACACGGUCCAGACUCCUACGGGAGGCAGCAGUGGGGAAUUUUUGGCAAUGGGGGCAACCCUGACCAAGCAACGCCGCGUGGGUGAUGAAGUCUCUUGGGACGUAAAACCCUUUCGACGGGGACGAAACCGCAAGGUUGACGGUACCCGUAGAAGAAGCCCCGGCUAACUCCGUGCCAGCAGCCGCGGUAAUACGGGGGGGGCAAGCGUUGUUCGGAAUUACUGGGCGUAAAGGGCGCGUAGGCGGUUCGCU
Molecule: ribosomal RNA, 570 nt
Filed under: uncultured bacterium
Lineage: Bacteria
Description: bacterial SSU rRNA
Rfam family: Bacterial small subunit ribosomal RNA
Source: RNAcentral